RNAcentral lists this unclassified non-coding RNA (17 nucleotides) under Human adenovirus 41. The record is from RNAcentral. Lineage: Varidnaviria; Bamfordvirae; Preplasmiviricota; Pharingeaviricetes; Rowavirales; Adenoviridae.
GUAUCCAGCUCAACGAC